CCUACGGGAGGCUGCAGUGGGGAAUUUUGCGCAAUGCUCGUAAGAGUGACGCAGCGACGCCGCGUGAAUGACGAAGGCCUUCGGGUCGUAAAGUUCUUUCGACAGGGAAGAAAAUUCCUAUAAGUAACUGUUUAUGUAUUGACGGUACCUGUAUAAGCAGCACUGGCUAACUCCGUGCCAGCAGCCGCGGUAAUACGGAGGGGGCGAGCGUUGUUCGGAGUGACUGGGCGUAAAGCGCACGUAGGCGGUGUUGUAAGUCAUUAGUCAAAUACUAGAGCUCAACUUUAGUAAGGUUGGUGAUACUAUAAUACUAGAGUAUGAGAGAGGAGUGCAGAAUUCCAGGUGUAGCGGUGAAAUGCGUAGAUAGCAGGAGGAAUACC
RNAcentral lists this ribosomal RNA (380 nucleotides) under uncultured bacterium. RNAcentral describes it as "partial 16S ribosomal RNA". It matches the Rfam family "Bacterial small subunit ribosomal RNA", at positions 338 to 710 of the family's 1533-position model. The record is from RNAcentral.